This 926-nucleotide ribosomal RNA is filed under the name uncultured archaeon. RNAcentral's name for it is "bacterial SSU rRNA". It matches the Rfam family "Archaeal small subunit ribosomal RNA", at positions 1 to 934 of the family's 1478-position model. The record is from RNAcentral.
UUUUCCGGUUGAUCCUGCCGGACCUGACUGCUAUCGGAUUGAUACUAAGCCAUGCGAGUCAUUGUAGUAAUACAAGGCAGACGGCUCAGUAACGCGUAGUCAACCUACCCUAAGGACGGGGAUAACCUCGGGAAACUGAGAAUAAUACUCGAUAGAACAUAGCUCCUGGAAUGGUUUAUGUUUCAAAUAAUUUAUUGCCCUAGGAUGGGACUGCGGCCUAUCAGUUUGUUGGUGAGGUAAUGGCCCACCAAGACUAUUACAGGUACGGGCUCUGAGAGGAGUGGCCCGGAGAUGGGUACUGAGACACGGACCCAGGCCCUAUGGGGCGCAGCAGGCGAGAAAACUUUGCAAUGUGCGAAAGCACGACAAGGUUAAUCCGAGUGGUUUCUGCUAAAGGAACCUUUUGUCAGUCCUAGAAACACUGAUGAAUAAGGGGUGGGCAAGUUCUGGUGUCAGCCGCCGCGGUAAAACCAGCACCUCAAGUGGUCAGGAUGAUUAUUGGGCCUAAAGCAUCCGUAGCCGGCUUUGUAAGUUUUCGGUUAAAUCCAUGCGCUCAACGUAUGGGCUGCCGGGAAUACUGCAAAGCUAGGGAGUGGGAGAGGUAGACGGUACUCGGUAGGAAGGGGUAAAAUCCUUUGAUCUAUUGAUGACCACCUGUGGCGAAGGCGGUCUACCAGAGCACGUCCGACGGUGAGGGAUGAAAGCUGGGGGAGCAAACCGGAUUAGAUACCCGGGUAGUCCCAGCUGUAAACUAUGCAAACUCAGUGAUGCAUUGGCUUGAUGCCAAUGCAGUGCUGCAGGGAAGCCGUUAAGUUUGCCGCCUGGGAAGUACGUACGCAAGUAUGAAACUUAAAGGAAUUGGCGGGGGAGCACCACAAGGGGUGAAGCCUGCGGUUCAAUUGGAGUCAACGCCGGAAAUCACUAGU